This is a long non-coding RNA of Oncorhynchus gorbuscha (pink salmon), 3238 nucleotides long. RefSeq lists it as uncharacterized. Lineage: Eukaryota; Metazoa; Chordata; Actinopteri; Salmoniformes; Salmonidae. The record is from RefSeq and is a predicted model, not a curated record. The transcript has 16 exons.
ACUUGAACGGUUCAUACAUUACUUAACUCGCAGUCGAUCACAGAUGUUGACAUGUUAAUGUUGACCAUCUUUCCCCAGGUCCCGUCCCUUCUGCACUGCAACACGUGCUCCUCCAUCAUUUAUAUGCGCUCCUCACUCUCGUAGUUCAGUUCUUAUGGUAACCAACAGUUUGCUAGUUGUUGUUAGCAGCUAUUUAACCUGAGCUAACUUAGUGUAGCUGACUGCUACUGCUUUGACAUAAGAGUGGUCUACCUUGAUGAUUAUAGAUGCAUUAGUUUAUGUCAAUAUGGACACGGAUCCUUCAACGCGUUGGAAUGCUCUUUUUUUACAGCUUCAAACCCGUCCAUUGAUUCAGAUGAGUUUGAUUACUGCACUUAGUUAACUAACAACAAGUGCAGCAGUAAGACAACGUUAGCAAGCUAGCCCUAUGAAAAGCCCUUAAUUUGUAUGAACUUUGCUACUUACUUGCUGUUCUACUAGAGUUGUUUAUUUGUUUUUGAAUUGUGUUUGCCAGAGUAAAUCUAGAUAAAUGUAUCAAAAGUUAGCUGAAAUUUGGCUAACCUUACAGUUUGAAAAUUAAGAAGACAUAUCCAUCUUUCGCCGACCAGUAGCCCUUCUUCCUAAACACACAGAGGGCCUAGGGUGUCUUGUCAUUGGAGGACUCUGAAAUAGAGGAGCUUCAAAUAUCUGUGGCACAGUCACAACUGUGUUGGACAGAGGAGACCGUUUGCCCACAUAGAGAGCCUACAACUGAACCCCAUGGAGUUUAUCAAGCCAAUGAAUUAGCCCAGUAGGGCACCCACCAGGAGCCCAGUCCCAUAGGUAAUAAGGUGAAUGAGAUAUGCAGCCAUUACUCUAUUCGAAAUGCAGCUUGGGCAGGAGGCCAUCCAUGCAGCAAUGUUCCUGUGGAGAUGAAAGGGGACACCCCAGCGCACCACGGCCAUGGCACACUAAACAGACAAAAAACAACUGAGUCCACAUCGCCACACACUUCACAUAACACAGCUUGUGAAGAAAACACAUUGUCACUCAAUGCUUUGUGAAAGACACAAAGAACAGAUCCAAAUGGCUCUAUGAAAAAGCCACUACAAGAUAAUCAAACUGUUUUGUCUUUUGAGCCACUGGCGCACUGGGAUCUGGACUAGAUUCUUCUGACUCUUCAAACAGAUGGACUCUUUUUAGAAGGCAGUGUGUCUGAUGAACCUAUGGAAGUACAACCAGAUGGAGACAAUGUAAGGUCACAGGAUACUAUAUUGGAGAGGCGGGCUGCUUUCUGUAGGACACAGUCAUGUGGAGAUGCUGAAGAGAAAAGAGAAACUGCGCCAGAUAAAACCUCUGACAAAAUGGUGGAUGGAGAAAGUCUUUCAAAAGGAUGGCAUUUGAGUUAAAGCCAAGCCGCCAGGAAGUGCCCCACCAUUUAUAUUGAUUUACGUAACCCUGAGCCUCCCGCGAACACAACCAGACCAUGUAACAGCACUUCAUCACAAUCCAUGAAACGGACCAACCUCAACCUACACGACAAAAACCAAUCUGAUGAGAAAACAGACAGAAAUAUACAGUCUGGUUUACUGAAUGGAAAAGAGGAAGUAACUGGAAAGAGGCUAUUACUCAGAAUGUUACGCGAGGCGAACAGAAACAGGAGAGAGCCGGACAGGAAAGAUCUAGUUGCAGCGGAUUCUACAUGCAGAACCCCCAGAAGAGUGGCCUUGAAGGACAAGCUGCCUGAGGCUAACAAUGAGAUAACAUCUCUGCUUCCAGAGGUGGACAACCAAACCACAUCUCCCACAAUGAAGCGUGUCCACAACUGGCUGCCAGUUGAGAGAACACCUGCUAUUCAGCAGUGUGCUACUACCGGGCAGCCAAAGAAACAAAGGCAACUGAUCACGUGGUUCGCAGGGAGAGUUCCAGGAAAUAAUUCCCAGAACCCCGACCAGGCUCCAACUGACAGCUCUGCCCCUGGUGAUGGAGAGGGAAGCAGCCCCUUGUAUUUAACCAGGUUCUCUACCACCCUGUGUGCUACUGUUAAAGUGGACGUGUUCUUGAUAGUGUCCCCAGCGGUGGCGCCAUGCUGCUACAGCCGGGUUCUGUCUGUGUGUGAGGGCAGAGGGUUCAGUCUGAGGGGUUCCAGAGGCUGCAGCUCCCCACCAAACAAACCCAGGCACUGGGACUCACCAGACAGCAGGUGUCAGUGUUCUACAGUCCGCCCACUGUUACUGUGGAUGAGAAGAAGGUUGAGCUGUCUUCCCACUGCCUGGUCUUACUUCUGAGGAGAGAGAGUGGCCUGCGUCACUGUGCCAGCCUGCCUGCAGCCCUUGUGAAAGAGUUGGAGACACAGAGGAUGUUGGGAUGCAUCCACAUCAGACUGUCAGAUGAAGGAAAGCUGGACCCGAGCAGCUGCUUUCACAUGUUGCCCUACAGAGAGAGCCUGCUCCAUAGCUUUGGUGGGCGUAUGUGGGCCGUACCCAACCCCUGCAAUGUGGUGCUGUCCAAUCACAGGUGUCCAUCCAACCCAGAGCUGGAGCAGGUGGUGGUGCUUACGCUGGCUGGAAGGGACAUCAGUUAGGGCCUGAGCCUGCUACACAGGCUCUGGACAGGGGACACAACAUAUACUUUACCCCACAUGAACCAUUCCCACAACACAGCCCAUGCGAUGUCGGGGAGGAGGGAUUCGAGCUGCUGGCCAUGAAGUGGCUGCCCACAUCUCGGCAGCAGGCGCGGGAGGUGAGCCCCUAUGAGGUAGGUGACCGGCUGUGGCAGAGCAGCAUGGUGGGCCUGGCUUCCUCCCCUGCCCUGGUGUGUGCUCUGAGGAGGGUGGACGCCUUCGCUCCUGCCACUGGACUACCCCGGGAACCUGAACAUACUGUUGUCUCCCACUCCUGAACUGGCCUUCAGACAAGCAUCCCUCUUCUUCUUCCUGGGAGACAUGAUCCCUGAUCACAGUGUGCGCCCAUUACUGAAGUUCCUACCCCCACCUCACAUAGCUGGUUCCCAGCGUGAGUCAUUGUUAAACUGCAUGGUGCAGGGUGUCCGGCUUCUGGUCAAACUGUUCCUGUUGAAGCCUGGAGUGUGGAGCCAUGCUCUGGGGAAAAUCCUCAGCAAAGUCCAGCGGAGUGGCUUUACUGUGGUGGGCCUGCAUGUGCUGGUUCUGGACAAUACCACAGCUGUGUCACUGGCAUCUGCUGCAGAGAAUCAGGCAACUCACUUAUUCCUACCUACCUAAACCAGGCCAGUGGACAGA